Molecule: unclassified non-coding RNA, 332 nt
Filed under: soil metagenome
Description: partial contains 5.8S ribosomal RNA, internal transcribed spacer 2, and large subunit ribosomal RNA
Rfam family: 5.8S ribosomal RNA (bases 1-120)
Source: RNAcentral
GAUGAAGAACGCAGCAAAAUGCGAUAAGUAAUGUGAAUUGCAGAAUUCAGUGAAUCAUCGAAUCUUUGAGCGCACAUUGCGCCCGCCAGUAUUCUGGCGGGCAUGCCUGUUCGAGCGUCAUUUCAACCCUCAAGCACAGCUUGGUGUUGGGACUCGCGUUAAUUCGCGUUCCUCAAAUUGAUUGGCGGUCACGUCGAGCUUCCAUAGCGUAGUAGUAAAACCCUCGUUACUGGUAAUCGUCGCGGCCACGCCGUUAAACCCCAACUUCUGAAUGUUGACCUCGGAUCAGGUAGGAAUACCCGCUGAACUUAAGCAUAUCAAUAAGCGGAGGA